GCCAGAUUGGCAAUUUGAAACGCACUGUCUGUGACGGCUGCUGAGGCUGCUGCGGGGGAGUGAAGGGCUGUCAUGACGAUGACCCCUGGAGGAAAAAUGUGACUUUGUGACUUGGUGCUGUUGAACAUGAUGAUUUGUGAUCUGGAAUUAAUGAAGAACUACCAAGCUGCUGAAUUUAUACUACACUGAUUAUUUCAAGAAACAUUUUCAAGUGCCUACACUGUAUUACUCACCAUGGGAAAUACAGGUUAUGGUGGAGUCUGCAAUUGAUGAUUAGUGAUUCUGAGAACCAGCUCAUUGCCACCAUACUAUGCUUGGAAACAUAAGUCUGGAAAUACUAGAUGCCUGUCCUCAAAGAAUUCAAGCCUAGUAGGCACAACUGUGGACAUAACUAAUUGUAUAGGACUACAACAAUCUGGAAAGUAACAAUAUAAAUAUGUUCAAAGUUCUGGAGGACCCCAGAGGAUGACAUGUGUGCUUCUGUCCAGGAGAACAGGU
Long non-coding RNA from Phyllostomus hastatus (greater spear-nosed bat), 498 nucleotides. RefSeq lists it as uncharacterized. The transcript is spliced from 4 exons. The record is from RefSeq and is a predicted model, not a curated record. NCBI's taxonomy places the organism in Eukaryota, Metazoa, Chordata, Mammalia, Chiroptera, Phyllostomidae.